Molecule: long non-coding RNA, 361 nt
Organism: Lagopus muta (rock ptarmigan)
Lineage: Eukaryota; Metazoa; Chordata; Aves; Galliformes; Phasianidae
Exons: 3
Source: RefSeq, a predicted model, not a curated record
GGCUGGCAGCCUUAAAUGACUGUAAAAAACAUUUAUUUAAACUUAGUGAAAAAGAACACGAGUCUUACUUCUUGAUUUCUGCUGAGAGGCCUCUGCCCUCCUGUAUUUAUCUCAGUACUGGCAGGGGUAUAAAAGAUCCAAAUUCUAGUUUAUCACUGCCAAUCCAGAAGAAUCUUGGAGUCUUACUGAGGACUUACUGAGGACAAUUGGUCCUGGUCAGAUCACUUAGAUCUCCCACUGAGUUUUGUUACACCAGCUGCCUAAAAAUCAUCUUUAGUGGACUUGGAUCUGCACAAAUUGAAAACUUUUCAAGUGAUGGUGUCCUCUUCCUAACAUCCAAUUCCCCACAUCUAUUGCCUCC